Molecule: ribosomal RNA, 253 nt
Filed under: uncultured bacterium
Lineage: Bacteria
Description: partial 16S ribosomal RNA
Rfam family: Bacterial small subunit ribosomal RNA
Source: RNAcentral
UACAGAGGGGGCAAGCGUUGUUCGGAAUUACUGGGCGUAAAGGGCGCGUAGGUGGCCUUCUAAGUCGAACGUGAAAUCCCUGGGCUCAACCCAGGAACUGCGUCCGAUACUGGAAGGCUUGAAUCCGGGAGAGGGAUGCGGAAUUCCAGGUGUAGCGGUGAAAUGCGUAGAUAUCUGGAGGAACACCGGUGGCGAAGGCGGCAUCCUGGACCGGCAUUGACGCUGAGGCGCGAAAGCUAGGGGAGCAAACGGG